CAAAAAAAUUACUUUUUGAAAAAAUGUGGAAGCUGACAAUUAAAUAAUGACUCAACAAAUGAUUAAAAAAUCCAGUGUAAUAAUUUUAGCUGAUGGUCCCAAUAAUAUAUCUCGAUGGUCUGAGGUCAAAAUUAAACAUAUUCACCAAACAUAUUAAAUUCAGUCAAUUUAUGAAACAGAAGUGAAAUAUUUGUGUUUGGCGAACAAGCCUUGCUGCAAAAAGCGCCUGUACGCAUGCGCGGGGGAUGGAGUCUGGUUGGAGCAGAUUCAAUAUUCCGGCGCGCGCACGCAGCAAUAACAGCUGACGUCUGACGAAACUUCAUAUUCAGACGGAUUUUCCUUCAACAAAGUUAUGACACGUCUCAGUCAUCAUCUCUAUCUGCACUGCUGUGAUGCAGAGAGGGCUCCUUCUCUGUUUUGAGCCGUAGCAGUGACAGACUUGUCAAGACAACCCAAAUGAAUGAAAUGUGAUGAAGAGCCCUUACAGAGUGUCCAAAGAUACACGUCUCAGUCAUCAUCUCUAUCUGCACUGCUGUGAUGCAGAGAGGUCUCCUUCUCUGUUUUGAGCCGUAGCAGUGACAGACUUGUCAAGACAACCCAAAUGAAUGAAAUGUGAUGAAGAGCCCUUACAGAGUGUCCAAAGAUAAUAGUUGUUUCCACAAAUCCACCUGUGACUUCCACAUCUUCAGGUGAUUCUGAUGUUACUCUUCUGCUGGAGAACAGGUA
Non-coding RNA from Danio rerio (zebrafish), 726 nucleotides. The record is from RefSeq and is a predicted model, not a curated record. NCBI's taxonomy places the organism in Eukaryota, Metazoa, Chordata, Actinopteri, Cypriniformes, Danionidae.